This 254-nucleotide ribosomal RNA is filed under the name uncultured bacterium. RNAcentral's name for it is "partial 16S ribosomal RNA". It matches the Rfam family "Bacterial small subunit ribosomal RNA", at positions 524 to 776 of the family's 1533-position model. The record is from RNAcentral.
UACGGGGGAUGCAAGCGUUAUCCGGAUUUAUUGGGUUUAAAGGGUGCGUAGGCUGUGAGGUAAGUCAGCGGUGAGAUGCCCCCGCUCAACGGGGUGAAGUGCCAUUGAUACUGCCUUGCUGGAAUGCGGAUGCCGUGGGAGGAAUGUGUGGUGUAGCGGUGAAAUGCAUAGAUAUCACACAGAACACCGAUUGCGAAGGCAUCUCACGAAUCCGCGAUUGACGCUGAUGCACGAAAGCGUGGGUAUCAAACAGG